RNAcentral lists this ribosomal RNA (216 nucleotides) under uncultured fungus. RNAcentral's name for it is "partial small subunit ribosomal RNA". The stretch from base 40 to 216 matches the Rfam family "Eukaryotic small subunit ribosomal RNA", at positions 686 to 864 of the family's 1831-position model. The record is from RNAcentral. Lineage: Eukaryota; Fungi.
GGGUCAGUAGGUUGGCCGUGCCACUGGUAUGCACUGGCCUUACUGAUUCCUCCUUCUUGAAGAACCGCGAUGUCUUUAACUUGGUGUUGCAGGGAAACAGGACUGUUACUUUGAAAAAAUUAGAGUGUUUAAAGCAGGCAAUCGCUUGAAUACAUUAGCAUGGAAUAAUGAAAUAGGACGUUCGAUCCUAUUUUGUUGGUUUCUAGGAUUGACGUA